This 348-nucleotide long non-coding RNA is filed under the name Pan troglodytes (chimpanzee). RNAcentral describes it as "long non-coding RNA NONPTRT012910". Lineage: Eukaryota; Metazoa; Chordata; Mammalia; Primates; Hominidae. The record is from RNAcentral.
CACACACACAGAGCAACACGCAGACAUGCACACACACAGAGCAACACGCAGACAUGCACACACAAACAGAACAACACGCGGACAUGCACACACACAGAGCAACACGCGGACAUGCACACACACACAGAGCAACACGCAGACAUGCACACACAAACAGAGCAACACACGGACAUGCACACACACAGAGCAACACGCGGACAUGCACACACACACACAGAGCAACACGCGGACAUGCACACACAGAGCAACACGCGGACAUGCACACACAAACACAGAGCAACACGCAGACAUGCACACAUAAACACAGAGCGACACGUGGACAUGCACACACAGUUACAAGGACAGACA